This is a long non-coding RNA of Dromiciops gliroides (monito del monte), 1863 nucleotides long. RefSeq lists it as uncharacterized. The record is from RefSeq and is a predicted model, not a curated record. NCBI's taxonomy places the organism in Eukaryota, Metazoa, Chordata, Mammalia, Microbiotheria, Microbiotheriidae. The transcript has 3 exons.
UCAUUUUUGUCUGGGGAAUUCCUUUUAGGAGCAAAAAAUUCACAGUAGAUCCUGCGCUUGCCUAGGAGUGGGGAAUGACACUGAGGCUGUUCAGGAGGGGAUUUCAAAACUGCCAAGACUUCCAGAACCCAUGACCCAGGAGAGAGAUCAGGGAAGGACUUGAAAAGGGACAAGCAGUUCCUCCAGCAUGCAGCAGAGUGCUGGGAUCAGAAUCUGGAGCUGGAAGAGAACUCUGUGGUCAUCUUUUUAUAGACUGAGUCCCCGAAAAGUUGACUCGUCCAAGGUCACACAGGUAGUGGUGGAGACAAGUUUGGACCAAAGGCAUUCACGGGAAGCAGCAGAGUUUUGAGUACUAACAAAAAUCCAACAAGAGAUGAUAGAAAGAUAAAGUCCCUUCAUGACAGCCGCAAGAUACAUCCAAGAUCUGGGCGCUAACCCUUCAAGAUAAACUGGAAUUUCCAUAACUACAACCACAAAACAUUGUUUACACAAAGAAAAAGGAGAUAACAAGGGAGAGACGUUCAGUGGUCAAGAGGGAAACAUGGCCAAUAGAAUAAAAACAGUAACAUGGCUGAAACGAUCGUUGUCUGAGGUUCUGCUGUAGAAAGGAUGUGGGGAUUUUCUUAAGUAUAAUUUUUUUAUAUAAAAAGAAAGGAUGCUGGGAUUUUUAAUUAUAAGAAGUUUUAGAAAGAGAAAUUAUACUCAAAUUUUUUAAGUAUAAAAAUUUUACAAAGGGGAAGGAUGCUGUAUUUGGAGCCAGAGAUCUAGGGUUUAAAUCAAAGCUUUGUCAUGUACUACCAGUGUGACCUUGGGUAAGUCAUUUCCCAUGUUGGGGCUUCAGUUUCAUCUUCAAUAAAAUAAAGAGGUUAGGUCAGAUGGCUUCUAAGGUCCCUUCCAUUUAUCUACAGCCAUAAGCCCAGGGGUUAGUGCAGGAGAGAAACCACCAGUUCUUUUCUAAUGGGCCUUGAAUGCCCUUUCUCUGCCAGUGCAAAGAUCUAAGUUAGCUCUCUAUCCUUUUUUGGGGGGACAGGCAAUGAGGGUUAAGUGACUUGCUCAAGGUCACACAGCUAGUAAAUGUCAAGUGUCUGAGACUAGAUUUGAACUCAGGUCAUCCUGAAUCCAGGACCGGUGCUUUAUCCACUGUGCCACCUAGCUGCCCCUAGCUCUCUAUCCUUUAAAGCUGAGCUCAGAUCCUACCUUCUCCGUGAACCCACCCCCCUGACUAUUCCAACUCUUUGUUGUCCCCCAAAUCCCCACAGAGAUCAGGACUACUCUAUGGCACAUCAACAGACUAUGGACAAGAUGUGUAGGAAACCUGUGCUCUGCUCCUGGGCCACAGCUCUUCCCCCUUUUGUGUACCUGAGGUCAAAGGAUGCAACUUAGGUCCACAGGAUCCCGACUAAUUUGCAUCAUCCCCAAGGCUGAGACUUGAUCACUCCCUGAGGAUGCUCGCCCUCAGCACAUAACCCAAGUCCCAAACACUGGCCUCACCUUUUCUGCCUCCCCAGGCUCUUCCCACCUGACUGAAGCCUUGCCCAUCCUUCAGGGCCUGAAGUCUGUGAACUUGUGGCUUUAAAAUAUUUUUGUAACUGUAUUUGAACAGAAUUGGUUUCCUUCAUAAUUCUAUGUUUUAUUUUAUGCAUUUAAAAAUGUGACUCUGAGAAGGGCUUCACCAUUCUGCCAGAGGGGUCCAGGACACAAAAGGUUAAAAACUUAGACUUUAGAGUCGAUCUCAAAUGCUGCCUCCUCCAGGAAGCCUUCCUUGAUUACUGCCAACUCAGUAAAGAGUCUUUCCCCUCAGACUCCAUGUGAUGUUUUGUUGGCACCUCUCUGAUGUACUUUUCAUGUAAUACUGUACUUUAU